GCCGCGUGGGUGAUGAAGGUUUUCGGAUCGUAAAGCCCUGUCGGAAGGGAAGAAAAACGGUAUGGCUAACAUCCAUACCGCUUGACGGUACCUUUAGAGGAAGCACCGGCUAACUACGUGCCAGCAGCCGCGGUAAUACGUAGGGUGCAAGCGUUGUUCGGAAUCAUUGGGCGUAAGGCGCGUGUAGGCGGUUAGUUAAGUCGAGUGUGAAAUCCCUGGGCUCAACCGAGGAAGUGCAUUCGAAACUAACUAGCUGGAAGAUGGUAGAGGAAGGUGGAAUUCCAAGUGUAGAGGUGAAAUUCGUAGAUAUUUGGAGGAAUACCGGUGGCGAAGGCGGCCUUCUGGGCCAUUCUUGACGCUGAGACGCGAAAGCGUGGGUAGCAAACAGGAUUAGAUACCCUGGUAGA
Molecule: ribosomal RNA, 407 nt
Filed under: uncultured bacterium
Lineage: Bacteria
Description: bacterial SSU rRNA
Rfam family: Bacterial small subunit ribosomal RNA
Source: RNAcentral